CCACCCUUGCCUCGCUUGUUGUCUAACCGCGGUCCGUUAUCCGGAUCCGGGACCCUGCGUGGCGGGUAGUUUGACUGGGGCGGUCGCCUCCUAAAGAGUAACGGAGGCGCGCGAUGGUUGGCUCAGGACGGUUGGAAACCGUCUGUUAGAGUGCAAUGGCAUAAGCCAGCCUGACUGCGAGACUGACAAGUCGAGCAGAGACGAAAGUCGG
This 211-nucleotide ribosomal RNA is filed under the name Fragilariopsis kerguelensis. RNAcentral describes it as "partial Bacterial large subunit ribosomal RNA". It matches the Rfam family "Bacterial large subunit ribosomal RNA", at positions 2200 to 2409 of the family's 2925-position model. Lineage: Eukaryota; Bacillariophyta; Bacillariophyceae; Bacillariales; Bacillariaceae. The record is from RNAcentral.